Molecule: ribosomal RNA, 497 nt
Filed under: uncultured bacterium
Lineage: Bacteria
Description: partial 16S ribosomal RNA
Rfam family: Bacterial small subunit ribosomal RNA
Source: RNAcentral
GAUGUACGCUGGCGGCGUGCCUAAUACAUGCCAGUCGAGCGAACAGACGAGGAGCUUGCUCCUCUGACGUUAGCGGCGGACGGGUGAGUAACACGUGGAUAACCUACCUAUAAGACUGGGAUAACUUCGGGAAACCGGAGCUAAUACCGGAUAAUAUAUUGAACCGCAUGGUUCAAUAGUGAAAGACGGUUUUGCUGUCACUUAUAGAUGGAUCCGCGCCGCAUUAGCUAGUUGGUAAGGUAACGGCUUACCAAGGCAACGAUGCGUAGCCGACCUGAGAGGGUGAUCGGCCACACUGGAACUGAGACACGGUCCAGACUCCUACGGGAGGCAGCAGUAGGGAAUCUUCCGCAAUGGGCGAAAGCUUGACGGAGCAACGCCGCGUGAGUGAUGAAGGUCUUCGGAUCGUAAAACUCUGUUAUUAGGGAAGAACAAAUGUGUAAGUAACUAUGCACGUCUUGACGGUACCUAAUCAGAAAGCCACGGCUAACUACGUG